Molecule: long non-coding RNA, 526 nt
Organism: Bactrocera tryoni
Lineage: Eukaryota; Metazoa; Arthropoda; Insecta; Diptera; Tephritidae
Exons: 4
Source: RefSeq, a predicted model, not a curated record
GAAGAAAACGAAAAGCGCAGUUUAUUUUGGAUUUUAAAGAGAGAAACUAAAAGGCUUAACUAGGAGAAAAAGAAAACAUUUGGAGGAUUCAAGUAUAUUGGGUACAACAAACAAAUUAGAGAUUUUCGACGUGGAUCCUAUCAAUCAGUUAAGUUUUAGUUUUAAAUAAUGAAUAAGAAAACCUUUUCAAACCUCUUGAGCAAGGAAAAAUCGAAAUUUGAAGCUACGGUGGCAAAAUUUCGAAGACUGAAUGAAUCUGUUCAAGAGGUCGCGGUGCUUCAAAAGACGUUUAUAAGACGAAUAAUGGAUCUAUGCGUGUGAGCCCAAAACAAAACAGCAAUCGACAAAUAAAAAAAAAUAAAAAAUAAAACAUUUUCGUUCAUAAAUAUGCCCAUUUACAUUAUUAGGCCAGAAAUAUAUAUAGCAACCUACGUAUUUGCACAAUAGACGAUGUGUUGUUAGUGUCGAUGGAGUGUCAUCCGAUUCAUUCAUUGCGUCUUCGGGAGUGCCACAAGGAAGCGUUUUG